AUGGCUCCUCCCGCGUGCGCGCGUGCCGCCAGCCUCCGUGUGUCUGCGGCGUUCACGCCCGUACGCGCCCCCGCGUGGGCGAACGGCCAAGCGCGCACGCCGACGGGGCCCCGGACCGGACGGCGACCCCUUCCACCCCGGGAGCGCGCGCACGCAGCGCAUGGGCUGUCUGUCUCGCCUCCAUCCGCUGCCUUUCCCCGCGCCGCUUGGUGGUCGCAUGGCUCCGGCGCGGCUCGCACGCCGCGUCGCUGUCCCGCCCACGCCCACGCCCACGCCCGGGGCAAAAGACGCCGGCGAUCGGGACGGCACCGUGUGGCCUGUCUCUCUGUCGUUCGUUGGUAUCCCUGUUGGCGUGCGUUUUGCCUCGGCUUCGGACCGAUCGAGGCCAUCUCCGUUCUCGUGAUAAUACCAUGGCACAGUAGCACCCGCAUGCCAUUCACGUGCGCGCUCCUCUAG
Molecule: ribosomal RNA, 456 nt
Filed under: Triticum aestivum (bread wheat)
Lineage: Eukaryota; Viridiplantae; Streptophyta; Magnoliopsida; Poales; Poaceae
Description: partial small subunit ribosomal RNA
Source: RNAcentral